This 492-nucleotide ribosomal RNA is filed under the name uncultured bacterium. RNAcentral describes it as "partial 16S ribosomal RNA". It matches the Rfam family "Bacterial small subunit ribosomal RNA", at positions 29 to 507 of the family's 1533-position model. The record is from RNAcentral.
AGUGAACGCUGGCGGUAGGCCUAACACAUGCAAGUCGAACGGCAGCACAGUAAGAGCUUGCUCUUACGGGUGGCGAGUGGCGGACGGGUGAGGAAUACAUCGGAAUCUACUUUUUCGUGGGGGAUAACGUAGGGAAACUUACGCUAAUACCGCAUACGACCUACGGGUGAAAGCAGGGGAUCUUCGGACCUUGCGCGAUUGAAUGAGCCGAUGUCGGAUUAGCUAGUUGGCGGGGUAAAGGCCCACCAAGGCGACGAUCCGUAGCUGGUCUGAGAGGAUGGUCAGCCACACUGGAACUGAGACACGGUCCAGACUCCUACGGGAGGCCGCAGUGGGGAAUAUUGGACAAUGGGCGCAAGCCUGAUCCAGCCAUACCGCGUGGGUGAAGAAGGCCUUCGGGUUGUAAAGCCCUUUUGUUGGGAAAGAAAAGCAGCAGGUUAAUACCCCGCUGUUCUGACGGUACCCAAAGAAUAAGCACCGGCUAACUUCGUG